GACGAACGCUCGUCGGCGCGCCUAACACAUGCAAGUCGAACGAGCGAGAGAGAGCUUGCUUUCUCGAGCGAGUGGCGAACGGGUGAGUAACGCGUGAGGAACCUGCCUCAAAGAGGGGGACAACAGUUGGAAACGACUGCUAAUACCGCAUAAGCCCACAGGUCGGCAUCGACCAGAGGGAAAAGGAGCAAUCCGCUUUGAGAUGGCCUCGCGUCCGAUUAGCUGGUUGGUGAGGUAACGGCCCACCAAGGCGACGAUCGGUAGCCGGACUGAGAGGUUGAACGGCCACAUUGGGACUGAGACACGGCCCAGACUCCUACGGGAGGCAGCAGUGGGGAAUAUUGCACAAUGGGGGAAACCCUGAUGCAGCGACGCCGCGUGGAGGAAGAAGGUCUUCGGAUUGUAAACUCCUGUUGUUGAGGAAGAUAAUGACGGUACUCAACAAGGAAGUGACGGCUAACUACGUGCCAGCAGCCGCGGUAAAACGUAGGUCACAAGCGUUGUCCGGAAUUACUGGGUGUAAAGGGAGCGCAGGCGGGAAGACAAGUUGGAAGUGAAAUCUAUGGGCUCAACCCAUAAACUGCUUUCAAAACUGUUUUUCUUGAGUAGUGCAGAGGUAGGCGGAAUUCCCGGUGUAGCGGUGGAAUGCGUAGAUAUCGGGAGGAACACCAGUGGCGAAGGCGGCCUACUGGACACCAACUGACGCUGAGGCUCGAAAGUGUGGGUAGCAAACAGG
Molecule: ribosomal RNA, 736 nt
Filed under: uncultured bacterium
Lineage: Bacteria
Description: bacterial SSU rRNA
Rfam family: Bacterial small subunit ribosomal RNA
Source: RNAcentral